RNAcentral lists this ribosomal RNA (910 nucleotides) under Graphis implicata. RNAcentral's name for it is "eukaryotic LSU rRNA". It matches the Rfam family "Eukaryotic large subunit ribosomal RNA", at positions 40 to 973 of the family's 3401-position model. The record is from RNAcentral. Lineage: Eukaryota; Fungi; Ascomycota; Lecanoromycetes; Ostropales; Graphidaceae.
AUAUCAAUAAGCGGAGGAAAAGAAACCAACAGGGAUUGCCCUAGUAACGGCGAGUGAAGCGGCAACAGCUCAAAUUUGAAAUCUGGCCUUUGGCCCGAAUUGUAAUUUGGAGAAGGUGCUUCGGGAGAGAUGAUGGUCCAAGUCCCUUGGAAUAGGGCGUCACAGAGGGUGAGAAUCCCGUAUGUGGCCAGUCAUCGAUUCCAUGUGAGGCCCUUUCGACGAGUCGAGUUGUUUGGGAAUGCAGCUCUAAAUGGGUGGUAAAUUUCAUCUAAAGCUAAAUACCUGCCAGAGACCGAUAGCGCACAAGUAGAGUGAUCGAAAGAUGAAAAGCACUUUGAAAAGAGAGUCAAACAGUACGUGAAAUUGUUGAAAGGGAAGCGUUUGCAAUCAGACUCGUUUGCAGAGGCUCAGCUUUCCUUCGGGAUUGUGUAUUCUUCUGUCAACGGGCCAGCAUCAGUUUCGGCGGCCGGAUAAAGGUUCUGGGAACGUAGCUCUCUUCGGAGAGUGUUAUAGCCCGGAGCGUAAUGCGGCCAGCCGAGACUGAGGUCCGCGCUCUUGCUAGGAUGCUGGCAUAAUGGUUGUAAGCGACCCGUCUUGAAACACGGACCAAGGAGUCGACCAAUGACGCGAGUGUUUGGGUGCAAAACCCACACGCGUAAUGAAAGUGAACGUAGGUGGGAGCCCUUUGGGCGCACCAUCGACCGAUCUUGAUGUCUUCGGAUGGAUUUGAGUAUGAGCAUUAUUGGUCGGACCCGAAAGAUGGUGAACUAUGCGCGGAUAGGGUGAAGCCAGAGGAAACUCUGGUGGAGGCUCGCAGCGGUUCUGACGUGCAAAUCGAUCGUCAAAUCUACGCAUAGGGGCGAAAGACUAAUCGAACCGUCUAGUAGCUGGUUCCUGCCGAAGUUUCCCU